Molecule: long non-coding RNA, 2163 nt
Organism: Homo sapiens (human)
Lineage: Eukaryota; Metazoa; Chordata; Mammalia; Primates; Hominidae
Source: Ensembl
AUACGGAGUUGGAUGCACACGGUGGGCUUGAGAUCCCGCACGCCCCAGCUCCAGCGCAUCUCCACCCACAGCCCCUGGCCCCCACCACCUCUGCCAUCGCAGUCCAGCCUGGAAAGCAGCCUGCAGUCUCAGGUCACAAGUUGGAGGGUACAAAGAGCCUCCAUUCAGGCUUCAAAAAUAACAACAAGGCUGGGCACAAUGGCUCAUGCCUAUAAUCCCAACACUUUGGAAGGCCAAGAUGGAAGGAUCACUUAGGGCCAGGAGUCCCAGAUCAGCGUGGGCAACAUAGUGAGAUCCUGUCUCUACCAAAACAAAACAAACAAACAAAAACAAGACGAGCAACAAACAAACAAGCAGAAACCCCGGUCGGUUGCCAAGUUACGCAGAAGGGGCUGCUACUUCAUCAGUCUUCCUGUCAAACAUUCUGUGUCUACAUGAAAUGAAACUGCAGGCAGAUGAGUUAAGGGAAGAUGGAUAAAGAUAAUAACGCAUCUGACAUAACGCAGUAAUGUGCUCACCGCAGUACCUGGAUCUUCAACUACAAGGUUUGCCACUUGGGAAAAUGCAGUGGAAGUAUUGUUCUCAGGGGCGCCUGCACCGAAGAAGCAGAGGGCGUCCUGCUCUCAGUCGCGGUCUAUAAAAUAGGUUCUGAUUCCUAAAACUGGAGGCAUCAUUGAACUUUUGGAGAGUGUUGCCUUAAAGUAAUUGUGUUUAACUCUGUGUGUGUGUGUGUGUGUCUGUCUCACUCACAUUUACAUACAAACUUUUCAAAACACUUACAUCUCUAAGCGAUACAGAUGGCGACACUUCACAUGUUUUAAACUCCUACAUGCGUUCCUCUAGACAUCAGGGCAGGGAAAACAUAAGAGGCUUCAUUUCCAGCAAAAACAAACUGCAGAGCCCUGGCAACGCCCCCUUUCUCACUCCCCCUUUCCGGAGCACCUUCCCACUUUCUCCUCUUUUGCCAACUCCUGUGCCUCCAUCAGUGUCGCUCUGAAACAUCUUCUCACCCUAGAAGCUUCCCUGGCAUCCCAGGCACGGUUAGGAGCCUCUCCUAAAAGAAGACUUCUUAGAAGAUGUGGCAUUUCUUGCCUGGCUGAUGGAGGCACCUCUGCUGGAAUGUGGCAGACAGUGUCGAGCAGGAGAGCACAGCUGCAAAUGCAACACGACAGCAGUGUCUCUGUCACAUGCGUCCUGUGGGCAGGGGCUUUACUAUCUACUAAGGGAUUUAAUAUCUCAUUUGAAUCCUCCCAGAGGUAGGUGUUCAUACCCCCAACUUACAGAUAAGGAAACUGAGACUUGGAGAGGAUUAAAAAAUGUCCUGAGUCAAACACCUAUCAAAUGGCAAAGCAGGUGUUUAAACACAAGACUUGGGCUAAAGCCUAUGUUUUUACCAUGGUGUUAAGUGACUUCCCUUGACAUGUCCAACAGGCUUUUAGGGUGUUUUCUCAGUCCACACAAGUUGACAAAGAUUCUAAAACAAAGCAGUGUGGCCAUUUUAUGCCAGCAACUUCUUGCCUCCUUUGUAAGCCUUGGACACAAUCCUGGCAGCAGCAGAUCAAGAGCUCGAUUCUGAAGAACCUAGGCCAGGCCGCCACUGGCCCAUGCAAAGUCCUGGGAGAUCACCCAGGGAAGGUGCGUGCUUUGCUUAGAGCCCAUCAGUGUUGCUGUUUCAUGCUCCACUGAUUCCUAUCCAAAAUUUUUGCAAGUCCUAAAUGCUAGAAGCUCCACCUCAGGUUUAACCCACGCACAGUCUUUUCUUUCUUACUUCUGAGGUUUAAAAUUAUUCUUUGAUUCAAAGUUGUGUUUCUAAUGAAGAUGACUGAAAGCUGAUUUGAAAAUAUCAGGCAUCAUUCGCUGUGAAGAGAGAGCCAAAGGGGCUGGCUGGUGCACCAGACACAGAUAGUUUCAGAAGACAGUGGUUUCCUAUUUAAUGCAAUGGAGGAAUGUCGUUCUGAGAGGUGGCUGUGUUGUUCCUCAUUCCACACCCUGCCCACCCCAAGAUGAUGUCAUAGCCAGAGGUAAGAUGGGCACCAGUGAAGAGCAGCGCCUUUGGACAAACCUGCCUCCUCUGUAGUUACCUUUGUGAGCCUAAGUGAGUCCAUUUUGAAUCUCAGAUUCCUCAUUUGUAAAAUGGGGCCGCCAAUGCUCCUCUCAUAGAGA